GACGAACGCUGGCGGCGUGCUUAACACAUGCAAGUCGAACGGAAAGGCCCUGCUUUUGUGGGGUGCUCGAGUGGCGAACGGGUGAGUAACACGUGAGUAACCUGCCCUUGACUUUGGGAUAACUUCAGGAAACUGGGGCUAAUACCGGAUAGGAGCUCCUGCUGCAUGGUGGGGGUUGGAAAGAUUCGGCGGUUGGGGAUGGACUCGCGGCUUAUCAGCUUGUUGGUGGGGUAGUGGCUUACCAAGGCUUUGACGGGUAGCCCGCCUGGGAGGGUGACCGGCGACCUGGGGACUGAGGUACGGACCAGACUCCAACGGGAGGCAGCAGUGGAGAAUAUUGCACAGUGGGCGGAAGCCUGAUGCAGAGGCGCCGCGUGCGGGAUGACGGCCUUCGGGUUGUAAACCGCUUUCGCCUGUGACGAAGCGUGAGUGACGGUAAUGGGUAAAGAAGCACCGGCUAACUACGUG
RNAcentral lists this ribosomal RNA (468 nucleotides) under uncultured bacterium. RNAcentral describes it as "partial 16S ribosomal RNA". It matches the Rfam family "Bacterial small subunit ribosomal RNA", at positions 28 to 507 of the family's 1533-position model. The record is from RNAcentral.